Molecule: long non-coding RNA, 4350 nt
Filed under: Sus scrofa (pig)
Lineage: Eukaryota; Metazoa; Chordata; Mammalia; Artiodactyla; Suidae
Description: lncRNA (ENSSSCG00050051828.1)
Source: RNAcentral
AUGUUCCAGAGAGGCUUUAAAUGAAGUAAAUAAAGAAGCUUCUGUUAAAAUGUUUGAUUAAAUACAUAUAGUGAGUGCUUUUAAAAUGCUGAUGGGGCAAGAUGGCAGAUAAUAUAGCAGUUUUAGGAGAGUUUAUUGUUUGAGGUUCUGGUGUAGAGAUUUGAUUCCCAGCACAAGUCCCAGUAAGUAAUGAGCCAUGUAAUAAUAGGGCUCUGCUCUUAAUUAUGGUGAGUACUCUCAAUGAAAUCGAAUUUUCUUAGUACCAUCCGUGGAAAAAAAUUUAACUCUGACUUUACAUAACAGUCCCAGAUAGAGUGUGAACUCUGUGGAUAUGGGAUAGUGACAGAAAAAAAGAGGAAACAAAUCUCCAAUAUUUGCAGAAAAUGUAAGCUCAGAUUAUAACAUAAAUAUAUGAGUGUUUGUGGCGGCUCUGUUGAAGUUGUUACUAGCUAGACUCUAAACCCCAGCACAAACCCCUUCCAGAUUUCAUCAUCACGACUGGUUCUCGGUUAGAUUUUGAGUUCCUUGUUAGCAUGGAUGUAUUUUGUGGAUUCAGUUGUUUAAAAAAAAGUUCAGGGAGUUCCCAUCGUGGCUUAGCGGAAACAGAUCUGACUAGCAUCCAUGAAGAUGCAGGUUCAAUCCCUGGCCUCACUCAGUGGGUUAAGGAUCCAGCAUUGCCGUGAACUGUGGUGUAGGUCACAGAUGUGGCUCAGAUCUGACAUUGCUGUGGCUGUGGUGUAGGCUGGCAGCUACAACUCCAAUUCAACCUCUAGCCUGGAAACUUUCAUAUGCCGUGCAUAUGGCCCUAAAAAGAUGAACAAAACAAAACAAAACAAUUCAGUUUUAUUGAAUUGCUUCUGCAAAUGAUAGUGGGGGAAGGGGAGAGAUUGCUAAUGAAUACUUUUCCUUUGUUUUUUUUAAGACUUUUUGGGGUAAUGACCAACUGUAUUUUCAGCUAGUCAGCCUGUCAUGUGGGUGUGGAAUGCACCUGCAGGUGUGAGGAGAAUUAGGGGGGUGAGUCCAUUGGAACAGUCCCCAGCGAGAUGCCCUGCACCAGGUUUUCUGUGGGCACCUGUAGGAAUGGGCAGCUCUCUCUCCCUGAGGCCACUGGGCACUGCCAGUAAGUGCCACCAGCCACUUAGGAAGAAAUCAUGUGUGAUAUUUAUGAUGGACGUAUGAGCGCUAGGUAUAACUCCUGGUUUGCCUUUCACAGGUCGGGUGACCGUCUGCAGAUCCUAGCCAUUGGAAAGAUGAGCGUUAUAACUCACAGGGUCAUUCUGGCCAGCCCACGGUGCCUGGUUGGCAUGUAGAGAAUGUAUUAUUUCUGUUCUCUUCUGGGGGCCUCUGGAAAGCAGACCGAGGUUUAAAAAGAUGUUGUCAAAAUUCUUUCCUUUGAAAUCAAUCUGUGUUGACUCAUAAUUUGAGUACUCCUUUAGUACAGUUAUUAAAUAUAGUUACAUAAUUAGCUCACACACAUGCCUAUUUAACCUGUGAGGGCAGAAUUUUGAUUAUGUAGGUCCCAUGGCUUAAGAAAAUGGGGUUUUCUCUUCAACUUGUCUUUAAACUAGAUCUCAAAUUAGCGGACAUUGAUUUCAGAAUUCAGCCUUUAGGAUUCCUCAGAAGUUUUUCUUGCCUUUCAUUUGUCGCUCCCUUAACAUCUCCCCUGCUUUUUUUCAUUUGCUCUUUUCAUGUUGUCAGGGUUUUUUGUUUGUUUUUACGUUUUCUCUCCUGAAACUUUGCACUCAGAGAUAGGAGUAAAGGCCUAUUUUGAGGCAGUAGGAUGGAUAGUGUGCUUUCUUUCAUCUCAGUGUAUUAUUGUUUUGCUAACAUGCCUUUUUGCUCUGAAGAUAUAAAUUCACAACUGGAGAAAGAAUCCCAAACUUCAUAAUAACUCUGUAGUUUCCUGAGUGCUUAUUGUGUGCCAAGUACAGGGCAUUUUAGUACAUUAGCUGAUGUCUUCUCAUCCAUAGUGAAGAGACGAAGGCGCCUUGGAGAGUCAGGCCUGGCUGCUUGCUGUGACCGUGCUCCUGACCUGUUCUCUUGUUCCCCCUUGUUCAGUCCCAGGGACAGGGUGGUUUUUAUUAUCUUUAAAGACCUAAGAGAUCUUGGGGCCCUGACUUUGAUGGAUGGCAUUUGGCCUAUUUUAAUUACAAAAACUUAUCAAAUGUUAACAUAAAUUACCUGUGUCUAGUGGGUUCAUAGCCCCAAAUAGUGUCGUUUGGGGUCUUAAAGUGUGUUGAACUGAUUUUGAUGUGUUUAUAAGAGACAUUAUCACUGUUUGAAAAACCCGAUAGUGCUCUUUCCUCCCUGAUUUCUAAUUCUGGCAUCUAGAAUGCAGCUGAGACAAGAGCACGUCUGUGAGACAAACAGAGAUCUCAUGAGAGCUCAUGGAUUAACUUUUUUCCACCACAGCAGCAGGUUUUUCUUAAAGCGUUGUUUGAAAAUUAACAUUACUGAAAAUUUAAGCCUACCUAAAGGGAUUCUAGUUUUGAUCUCAAUUAUAAAAAGUAGGAAGACAUUUCAUAAAAAUCUGUGUCCCCUUAGCACUAGAAUGCUUUGGCUGUGAGUGGGAUAAGCUAGAAGUAAGCUGCCUUUGAUAGACGUGAGCGGUGUGUGAUAACUGUCUCUAUCUAUUCAACUACUUCCUGUUCAAUCUCACAUCGCAGCUGGAAAGCAAUUUCCUCACUUGACCCAUUUUUCUUCUGUAUUGUGUCUUUCUUCUGGUUCUUUAACAAAUAGUUUGAAGGAAUGGAGUGUCGUAAAGCCUUACACACUUGUAAGGUGAGGCAAUUCAGGCACCUGCUUUGGAAUAAGCAUACUCUCUUGUGUUUCAUUAUUUGGCUCCCUGGUUGGGCGGAUAACAGUUUUGCUCCUUUACUUUCAUGUCACUGUUUUCAGAAGAGAGAGAUUUUAAAGCUUGAAAAUGGUAGGCAUUUGAGUAAAGACAAAAACAGGUGUAUGGGGGUAAGGAUCUUGUUUUAGUAACAUGGACAAUUUAUGAAUGUUAUAAUUUUAGUAAGCAUAUAUGCAGUAAGUCUAGCAUUAAUAGAUCCACAUUGUAAAAUGCCUGUUUAUCCAAAGACGGAGGUCUCUUGGUAUCAUUGGCUUGUUACUGUUAAUGCCACCCUUAGUCACAGGUAUGACGUUAUCAUGUGAUAACUUUUGUCCCACACCCAUGGCUUAUAGAGUGCUUGGGUUGCCUUCUCUUUUUGCCAGAUCAAAUUCUAAAUGUCCUAACACACCGAACAUAACGCCAGUCUCCUUCUUGAAACCAUCUCUGACUUUACGUGUAUAAGCUCUCUCUUUUCUGUUUCUGCUCACACCUUUGGUGACCUCACUUAGCCCUGUGACUUUAAAUUUACCACACAUACCCUGAAGACUCCUAGGUUUUUGCUUGUUUUGUGAGGGGGUUUUUUGGCCAGCCUGGACUGCAUAGAUAUUUGCAUAUCUAGUUGCCUUCUCACCACCUGCACAGGACUGUUUAGUGAGCAUUUCCAGCCCACAGGGCCAGACCUGGCCCUGCUCUUGCCCCAGGACCACUCUGCCUGCACUCCUCUCUGUCUUCCUCGAGAGCGCUUACCCCCUUCUGGUCGCUCCAGUCUAAACCCUAGAGUCUUCCUUGGCUCCCUCUUUCUUUCCAUGUACAGUACAUAAGAAACUAAGAGAUUUCUAAGUGAUCCAUGGGUCAAAGAAGAGAAAUACUUGGAACUAAAUUUAAAAAACCAAAUACAACAUAUCAGAAAUCAUAUGAUGCUGCUAAGCUGUGCUAAGAGGGAAAUUUAUGGCAUUAAAUGUCUCUAUUGGAAAAGGAGAACGAUCUCAGAUCAGUAAUUUAAGCGUUUAUCUUAUUCCAAAAAGUGAAGAACAAACUAAACCCAAUAGCAAGUAAAAAGAAGGAGAUAAAGGUUAGAGUGGAAGUCGGUGACGUAGAAACAGAAAGCAGUAGAAAGGAUCAAUAGAACCAAAAUUAAUUGAUUAAUUGAAAAUUAAUUUCAGCCGGUUAAUUGAAGAUAUCAGCAAAAUUGACAAACCUGUAGCUAGAUUGACCAAGAAAAAGAGAGAAGAUACAAGGUACCAAAAUCAAGAAUGAAGAGGGGCGUUGAGUAUUGAUCUUAUAGAAAUUAAGUUGAUAGUCUGAAUAACUUUGUACCAACAAGUUAGAUAGCUUAUAUGAAAUGGACAAAAUUCUAGAAAUAGGCAAAUUGCCAAAACUGACUCAAGAAAAAUGAAAAGUCUGAAUAGACAUAUAAUGAGUAAAGAAAUUGAAUUGAUAAUUAACAAUUUUGCCACAAAGAAAAGCCCAAGUUAUUUUGGCUUCAGUGGUAAAUUCUGUCAGACAUAUAAAGAACU